AGGGUAGAGUAACACCAUGGUAAGGCGUAAGUCAUCGGUUCAAAUCCGAUAAAGGGCU
Molecule: transfer RNA, 58 nt
Filed under: Zootrophion lappaceum
Lineage: Eukaryota; Viridiplantae; Streptophyta; Magnoliopsida; Asparagales; Orchidaceae
Description: partial tRNA-Thr
Rfam family: tRNA
About the family: Transfer RNA (tRNA) molecules are approximately 80 nucleotides in length.
Source: RNAcentral